GGUAUUGUCUGCCCGGUGAAUAGAUAAUAUUUAAACGGCCGCAGUACUUUGACUGUGCUAAGGUAGCAAAAUAAAUUGGCUUCUAAUUAGAGUCGAGUAUGAAAGGCAUAAUGGGUAAAAGCUGUCUCUUCAACAAUGUAAUUAAUUUAAUUAAUAGGUGCAAAUGCCUAUAGGUAACCAAUAGACGAGAAGACCCUUAGAGUUUUAUAAUAUACAAGGCUGCUUUUAUUGCUAGUCAAACAUUUUUUGUUGGGGCGACAAAGUACCAUCUAUUAAAACGUACUAAAGAUCAUACAAUAUACUAGUCUAAAAAAGUUAAACAUGAAUAUAACUACCUAAGGGAUAACAGCAUAAUUUAAUUUUUAAGAUUGUGACCUCGAUGUUGGACUAGGAACUAAGAGUAUUAGUCAUACG
Molecule: ribosomal RNA, 414 nt
Filed under: Arion lizarrustii
Lineage: Eukaryota; Metazoa; Mollusca; Gastropoda; Stylommatophora; Arionidae
Description: partial 16S large subunit ribosomal RNA
Rfam family: Bacterial large subunit ribosomal RNA
Source: RNAcentral